RNAcentral lists this ribosomal RNA (491 nucleotides) under uncultured bacterium. Its description in RNAcentral is "partial 16S ribosomal RNA". It matches the Rfam family "Bacterial small subunit ribosomal RNA", at positions 29 to 507 of the family's 1533-position model. The record is from RNAcentral.
AGUGAACGCUGGCGGUAGGCCUAACACAUGCAAGUCGAACGGCAGCACAGUAAGAGCUUGCUCUUACGGGUGGCGAGUGGCGGACGGGUGAGGAAUACAUCGGAAUCUACUUUUUCGUGGGGGAUAACGUAGGGAAACUUACGCUAAUACCGCAUACGACCUACGGGUGAAAGCAGGGGAUCUUCGGACCUUGCGCGAUUGAAUGAGCCGAUGUCGGAUUAGCUAGUUGGCGGGGUAAAGGCCCACCAAGGCGACGAUCCGUAGCUGGUCUGAGAGGAUGAUCAGCAACACUGAAACGAAGAAACGGUCCAGACUCCUACGGGAGGAAGCAGGGGGGAAUAUUGAACAAUGGGCGAAAGCCUGAUCCAGCCAUACCGCGUGGGUGAAGAAGGCCUUCGGGUUGUAAAGCCCUUUUGUUGGGAAAGAAAAGCAGCAGGUUAAUACCCCGCUGUUCUGACGGUACCCAAAGAAUAAGCACCGGCUACUUCGUG